Molecule: transfer RNA, 68 nt
Filed under: Alpheus japonicus
Lineage: Eukaryota; Metazoa; Arthropoda; Malacostraca; Decapoda; Alpheidae
Description: tRNA-Pro
Rfam family: tRNA
About the family: Transfer RNA (tRNA) molecules are approximately 80 nucleotides in length. Their secondary structure includes four short double-helical elements and three loops (D, anti-codon, and T loops). Further hydrogen bonds mediate the characteristic L-shaped molecular structure. tRNAs have two regions of fundamental functional importance: the anti-codon, which is responsible for specific mRNA codon recognition, and the 3' end, to which the tRNAs corresponding amino acid is attached (by aminoacyl-tRNA synthetases). tRNAs cope with the degeneracy of the genetic code in two manners: having more than one tRNA (with a specific anti-codon) for a particular amino acid; and 'wobble' base-pairing, i.e. permitting non-standard base-pairing at the 3rd anti-codon position.
Source: RNAcentral
CAGAAAGUAGUUUAAUAAAAAAAUAUUAGUUUUGGGAAUUGAUGAUGGGGUAGAUUCCUUCUUUCUGA